This 428-nucleotide ribosomal RNA is filed under the name Chloroflexota bacterium. Its description in RNAcentral is "Chloroflexi bacterium partial 16S ribosomal RNA". It matches the Rfam family "Bacterial small subunit ribosomal RNA", at positions 355 to 776 of the family's 1533-position model. Lineage: Bacteria; Bacillati; Chloroflexota. The record is from RNAcentral.
UGGGGAAUAUUGCACAAUGGGCGCAAGCCUGAUGCAGCCAUGCCGCGUGUAUGAAGAAGGCCUUCGGGUUGUAAAGUACUUUCAGCGGGGAGGAAGGGAGUAAAGUUAAUACCUUUGCUCAUUGACGUUACCCGCAGAAGAAGCACCGGCUAACUCCUGCCAGCAGCCGCGGUAAUACGGAGGGUGCAAGCGUUAAUCGGAAUUACUGGGCGUAAAGCGCACGCAGGCGGUUUGUUAAGUCAGAUGUGAAAUCCCCGGGCUCAACCUGGGAACUGCAUCUGAUACUGGCAAGCUUGAGUCUCGUAGAGGGGGGUAGAAUUCCAGGUGUAGCGGUGAAAUGCGUAGAGAUCUGGAGGAAUACCGGUGGCGAAGGCGGCCCCCUGGACGAAGACUGACGCUCAGGUGCGAAAGUGUGGGGAGCAAACAGG